This 698-nucleotide ribosomal RNA is filed under the name Pertusaria glaucomela. RNAcentral's name for it is "SSU rRNA". The stretch from base 1 to 477 matches the Rfam family "Eukaryotic small subunit ribosomal RNA", at positions 118 to 598 of the family's 1831-position model. Lineage: Eukaryota; Fungi; Ascomycota; Lecanoromycetes; Pertusariales; Pertusariaceae. The record is from RNAcentral.
CAUUUGAUAGUACCUUACUACUUGGAUAACCGUGGUAAUUCUAGAGCUAAUACAUGCUGAAAACCCCGACUUUCGAAGGGGUGUAUUUAUUAGAUAAAAAACCAAUGCCCUUCGGGGCUCCUGGAUGAUUCAUAAUAACUUAACGAAUCGCAUGGCCUUGCGCCGGCGAUGGUUCAUUCAAAUUUCUGCCCUAUCAACUUUCGAUGGUAGGAUAGUGGCCUACCAUGGUGUCAACGGGUAACGGGGAAUUAGGGUUCGAUUCCGGAGAGGGAGCCUGAGAAACGGCUACCACAUCCAAGGAAGGCAGCAGGCGCGCAAAUUACCCAAUCCCGAUACGGGGAGGUAGUGACAAUAAAUACUGAUCAGGGGCUCAUUUGGGCCUCUGAAUUGGAAUGAGUACAAUUUAAAUCCCUUAACGAGGAACAAUUGGAGGGCAAGUCUGGUGGACGCAGAUCGUUCUCGAUGCUGGCACCAGAAAAUGCGAACAGYGRGACUGUUCGCCAGUCGACUCGGACCGCCGUYCGAGGAGGCGAGGCAAUCUGGCUCGGGGAACCUCCGCCGYGSGCGGGGCACCCCGCAGUGAGCGUGGCUUUYGGCCGCGCCGCUGUAACGCGCGCAAAGAUGCCGGCUUUUCCCCCGGGGGACGAGUUUGAGGGACGUGCUAUUCCCACCUGAUCGCAGGUGUUUUGGUAACAUGC